This 253-nucleotide ribosomal RNA is filed under the name uncultured bacterium. RNAcentral describes it as "partial 16S ribosomal RNA". It matches the Rfam family "Bacterial small subunit ribosomal RNA", at positions 524 to 776 of the family's 1533-position model. The record is from RNAcentral.
UACAGAGGGUGCGAGCGUUAUUCGGAUUCACUGGGCGUAAAGGGUGCGCAGGCGGCCGUGUGUGUGAGGCGUGAAAGCCCGGGGCUUAACCCCGGAAUUGCACCUCAAACUACACGGCUAGAGCAUUGGAGAGGGUAGCGGAAUUCACGGUGUAGCAGUGAAAUGCGUAGAUAUCGUGAGGAACACCAGAGGCGAAGGCGGCUACCUGGACAAUUGCUGACGCUCAGGCACGAAAGCGUGGGGAGCAAAAGGG